UGGGGAAUAUUGCACAAUGGGCGCAAGCCUGAUGCAGCCAUGCCGCGUGUAUGAAGAAGGCCUUCGGGUUGUAAAGUACUUUCAGCGGGGAGGAAGGCGAUAAGGUUAAUAACCUUGUCGAUUGACGUUACCCGCAGAAGAAGCACCGGCUAACUCCGUGCCAGCAGCCGCGGUAAUACGGAGGGUGCAAGCGUUAAUCGGAAUUACUGGGCGUAAAGCGCACGCAGGCGGUCUGUCAAGUCAGAUGUGCAAUCCCCGGGCUCAACCUGGGAACUGCAUUCGAAACUGGCAGGCUAGAGUCGUGUAGAGGGGGGUAGAAUUCCAGGUGUAGCGGUGAAAUGCGUAGAGAUCUGGAGGAAUACCGGUGGCGAAGGCGGCCCCCUGGACAAAGACUGACGCUCAGGUGCGAAAGCGUGGGGAGCAAACA
Molecule: ribosomal RNA, 427 nt
Filed under: uncultured bacterium
Lineage: Bacteria
Description: partial 16S ribosomal RNA
Rfam family: Bacterial small subunit ribosomal RNA
Source: RNAcentral